UUCGACACACUAUCAUUAACUGAAUCCAUAGGUUAAUGAGGCGAACCGGGGGAACUGAAACAUCUAAGUACCCCGAGGAAAAGAAAUCAACCGAGAUUCCCCCAGUAGCGGCGAGCGAACGGGGAGCAGCCCAGAGCCUGAAUCAGUAUGUGUGUUAGUGGAAGCGUCUGGAAAGGCGCGCGAUACAGGGUGACAGCCCCGUACACAAAAAUGCACAUGCUGUGAGCUCGAUGAGUAGGGCGGGACACGUGGUAUCCUGUCUGAAUAUGGGGGGACCAUCCUCCAAGGCUAAAUACUCCUGACUGACCGAUAGUGAACCAGUACCGUGAGGGAAAGGCGAAAAGAACCCCGGCGAGGGGAGUGAAAAAGAACCUGAAACCGUGUACGUACAAGCAGUGGGAGCACGCUUAGGCGUGUGACUGCGUACCUUUUGUAUAAUGGGUCAGCGACUUAUAUUCUGUAGCAAGGUUAACCGAAUAGGGGAGCCGAAGGGAAACCGAGUCUUAACUGGGCGUUAAGUUGCAGGGUAUAGACCCGAAACCCGGUGAUCUAGCCAUGGGCAGGUUGAAGGUUGGGUAACACUAACUGGAGGACCGAACCGACUAAUGUUGAAAAAUUAGCGGAUGACUUGUGGCUGGGGGUGAAAGGCCAAUCAAACCGGGAGAUAGCUGGUUCUCCCCGAAAGCUAUUUAGGUAGCGCCUCGUGAAUUCAUCUCCGGGGGUAGAGCACUGUUUCGGCAAGGGGGUCAUCCCGACUUACCAACCCGAUGCAAACUGCGAAUACCGGAGAAUGUUAUCACGGGAGACACACGGCGGGUGCUAACGUCCGUCGUGAAGAGGGAAACAACCCAGACCGCCAGCUAAGGUCCCAAAGUCAUGGUUAAGUGGGAAACGAUGUGGGAAGGCCCAGACAGCCAGGAUGUUGGCUUAGAAGCAGCCAUCAUUUAAAGAAAGCGUAAUAGCUCACUGGUCGAGUCGGCCUGCGCGGAAGAUGUAACGGGGCUAAACCAUGCACCGAAGCUGCGGCAGCGACGCUGAUGCGUUGUUGGGUAGGGGAGCGUUCUGUAAGCCUGCGAAGGUGUGCUGUGAGGCAUGCUGGAGGUAUCAGAAGUGCGAAUGCUGACAUAAGUAACGAUAAAGCGGGUGAAAAGCCCGCUCGCCGGAAGACCAAGGGUUCCUGUCCAACGUUAAUCGGGGCAGGGUGAGUCGACCCCUAAGGCGAGGCCGAAAGGCGUAGUCGAUGGGAAACAGGUUAAUAUUCCUGUACUUGGUGUUACUGCGAAGGGGGGACGGAGAAGGCUAUGUUGGCCGGGCGACGGUUGUCCCGGUUUAAGCGUGUAGGCUGGUUUUCCAGGCAAAUCCGGAAAAUCAAGGCU
This 1376-nucleotide ribosomal RNA is filed under the name Escherichia coli. Its description in RNAcentral is "partial 23S ribosomal RNA". It matches the Rfam family "Bacterial large subunit ribosomal RNA", at positions 139 to 1557 of the family's 2925-position model. The record is from RNAcentral. Lineage: Bacteria; Pseudomonadati; Pseudomonadota; Gammaproteobacteria; Enterobacterales; Enterobacteriaceae.